RNAcentral lists this ribosomal RNA (412 nucleotides) under uncultured bacterium. RNAcentral's name for it is "bacterial SSU rRNA". It matches the Rfam family "Bacterial small subunit ribosomal RNA", at positions 791 to 1205 of the family's 1533-position model. The record is from RNAcentral.
UAGUCCACGCCGUAAACGAUGAUUACUCGGUGCUGGCGAUAUACAGUCAGUGCCUAAGCGAAAGUGAUAAGUAAUCCACCUGGGGAGUACGAUCGCAAGGUUGAAACUCAAAGGAAUUGACGGGGGCCCGCACAAGCGGUGGAGCAUGUGGUUUAAUUCGAUGAUACGCGAGGAACCUUACCUGGGCUUAAAUGCAUAAUGACAGACUGAGAAAUCAGUUUUUCUUCGGACAGAAUGCAAGGUGCUGCAUGGCUGUCGUCAGCUCGUGCUGUGAGGUGUCGGGUUAAGUCCCAUAACGAGCGCAACCCCUAUUUCUAGUUGCCAGCAUGUAAUGAUGGGGACUCUAGAGAAACUGCCCGCGCAAGCGGUGAGGGAAGGUGGGGGACGACGUCAAGUCAUCACGGGCCCUUAC